Molecule: ribosomal RNA, 497 nt
Filed under: uncultured bacterium
Lineage: Bacteria
Description: partial 16S ribosomal RNA
Rfam family: Bacterial small subunit ribosomal RNA
Source: RNAcentral
GAUGAACGCUGGCGGCGUGCCUAAUACAUGCAAGUCGAGCGAACAGACGAGGAGCUUGCUCCUCUGACGUUAGCGGCGGACGGGUGAGUAACACGUGGAUAACCUACCUAUAAGACUGGGAUAACUUCGGGAAACCAGAGCUAAUACCGGAUAAUAUAUUGAACCGCAUGGUUCAAUAGUGAAAGACGGUUUUGCUGUCACUUAUAGAUGGAUCCGCGCCGCAUUAGCUAGUUGGUAAGGUAACGGCUUACCAAGGCAACGAUGCGUAGCCGACCUGAGAGGGUGGUCGGCCACACUGGAACUGAGACACGGUCCAGACUCCUACGGGAGGCAGCAGUAGGGAAUCUUCCGCAAUGGGCGAAAGCCUGACGGAGCAACGCCGCGUGAGUGAUGAAGGUCUUCGGAUCGUAAAACUCUGUUAUUAGGGAAGAACAAAUGUGUAAGUAACUAUGCACGUCUUGACGGUACCUAAUCAGAAAGCCACGGCUAACUACGUG